RNAcentral lists this ribosomal RNA (570 nucleotides) under Yersinia ruckeri. Its description in RNAcentral is "bacterial SSU rRNA". It matches the Rfam family "Bacterial small subunit ribosomal RNA", at positions 15 to 574 of the family's 1533-position model. Lineage: Bacteria; Pseudomonadati; Pseudomonadota; Gammaproteobacteria; Enterobacterales; Yersiniaceae. The record is from RNAcentral.
GAUCCUGGCUCAGAUUGAACGCUGGCGGCAGGCCUAACACAUGCAAGUCGAGCGGCAGCGGAAAGUAGCUUGCUACUUUGCCGGCGAGCGGCGGACGGGUGAGUAAUGUCUGGGGAUCUGCCUGAUGGAGGGGGAUAACUACUGGAAACGGUAGCUAAUACCGCAUAACCUCGCAAGAGCAAAGUGGGGGACCUUCGGGCCUCACGCCAUCGGAUGAACCCAGAUGGGAUUAGCUAGUAGGUGGGGUAAUGGCUCACCUAGGCGACGAUCCCUAGCUGGUCUGAGAGGAUGACCAGCCACACUGGAACUGAGACACGGUCCAGACUCCUACGGGAGGCAGCAGUGGGGAAUAUUUCACAAUGGGCGCAAGCUGUAUGCAGCCAUUCCGCGUGUGUGAAGAAGGCCUUCGGGUUGUAAAGCACUUUCAGCGAGGAGGAAGGGUUAAGUGUUAAUAGCACUGAACAUUGACGUUACUCGCAGAAGAAGCACCGGCUAACUCCGUGCCAGCAGCCGCGGUAAUACGGAGGGUGCAAGCGUUAAUCGGAAUUACUGGGCGUAAAGCGCACGCAG